Non-coding RNA from Python bivittatus (Burmese python), 1509 nucleotides. The record is from RefSeq and is a predicted model, not a curated record. NCBI's taxonomy places the organism in Eukaryota, Metazoa, Chordata, Lepidosauria, Squamata, Pythonidae.
GAUAAAAGUUUAUUGUCCACAAAAGACAGACAAUACAUAACAAUGUAACCAUCCUAAUCUUAAGCAUAUUAAUUCAGACAAUAAGCCUCACUGAGAGCAACGGGACUUCCUUUUGAGUAAAUAAAAUAGACCCAUAAUUAAUUUACUAGGAUAGUCUCCCUGAAAUCAAUAGUAUUUAAGCUAGUCAUGUUUCCUUUAGGCCCACUGAUUUCAGUUAGUCUCUUCUUAGUAUAAGUAAACCAGGAUGCAACCCUUUAUUCCAGUACUAUAGCUAUUGAUUCUUCACAGGAAAAUUUUAUUUUGCACACCAUAAAAUUAACCCAAAUUAAUCUGUGUAGUUCACUGGUUUUCUUUAAAGACCCAAUUAGAACAAUAAAGGGCUGCAUCUUAAAAUUCCAUGACCAGAUUUUUCUUAUCUGUCUUUUGUUUUACUAAUUUUCCAGUCCCACCCCUUUCCUAUUCACCAGAACAAUUUAUCAGAUGUUCUUUCUUCCUUCCUGACUCUGAAUGUCAGUUCUGAUUACUUCCAAAGGUACCCAUUUCAGUUCUGUUUUCUUUUUCAGACUUUUUUUUUUUUUUGGAUAAAGGUCACUGUCUGUCUAAACCAGUUCUCAAAACUUUUGCAAUCCUGCAAUUUCCUAAAAUGGUAAAAAUGAGUCGGUGGAACCCUGACAGUUACAGAUCAGUGCUACUCUUCCAUACUGAGCCCAGGUAUCUUCCACAUUCAAAUUGCCUUCACUCCUCCUGAGCACCUGUCCAGCUUCUUUAAUCAGGUUUCUCCUGAGUAGCCCUAUUGGGCCCAGCUGCUCUUCAGGCCAGGACCUCUAUGCCUUUCUGCAAACCCAGCCAUUCUUGAGCUCCUGAGUGGGGUCAGAGUUGUGGGAGCCCAGGGAAGAAAUGGUAGGGCCAGUUGCUGACUCAGAAUCAUGGCCAGCAACACAGGGUCUGCUUUCCAGGCUAUUUCCUCCUCCUCUUCCUUGCCUGAGGAAGGCUUUUGAAACCAGACCAUGAUAGCGGGUGGGGCCCACCUAAAUGAGUGGAACACUACAAUAUGCUAGAAUUUAUUAAUAUGCAAAACAACAUAAUCUCCUGAAUAUCCAUCUAAAACAAGCCUAGAACACCCCCCUCUACACACUUGAUGCCCUCAAAACCUGGUGAGCUCAGCUUCCCGGUCUCCCAUUAGCGCUACUGAGAGAAUCUUGAAGCUGCCGUCCCAAAACCCGGGGCGGGAGAGGACCAGCCCGGUCUACCACUUUGUUCCUCCGCUCACCACGCGAGGAAUCCGGCUGCGGAUCACGGGUUGGGCUCUGCAAACAUGGAGUAGAGCAAAGAUCUCGAUCAAAGGACCACAGAAGUCCAAGAAUGUCUGUCAAGUUGGCUGUGCUUCUGGAUCUUUCUACCAGAUACCUGUUCUUGGAAGGAGAGCUUAUUCAUAUGUGAAAUGUGACAGGAUUAAAGACGCCAUACGUGAUUCUACAAGAGCUGUGCAUUUAGAUCCUUCAAAUCCUG